UGGUGACCUACGUAAAAUAUGUUUAGAAUAUAAAGAGGCGCAGGUGGUCAGGUACACCACACAAAGCCAGCCAAUCCGAGAGCAUUACAAGAACACAGAGAUUCCGAGAACAGUACAAAGAUAGCAGAGAAAUUCUUCUUCAACAAAACAUGCAGGGCCGCACGGUUGUUCGAAUCACUUUCUUGCUGGUAUUAUUGUCAGUGGUGGGAGAAGCCUACCACACCGGGAUAAACCAUCUCAUUAGGAAGAGAAGCACCGUCUGCCACGACAAGGAGGGACAUAUCUGGUACCAGAAUGAGUGCGCCUGCAGGGACCGGAAGUAUAAAUGCUGUUGUGGAUCCGAGGGGAUGUUUUGGUGUGAAGAAAUGAUCUCUUGUUAUUAAAACAUUUUUUGUUUUGCAAGUUUCACUUAACUGAUAACAGUUAUUAUGCCUGAAUAUAAAUAAUUUCAAUAAAUAUUUUUACAUUUCUGUUUUUUGAAGUAAAAUUAACCUUGGAAGGACUUAUAAUACUACAAUCUGUGUAUCUACAAUGUAGGUAUUACGUGGAAUUAAUAUUGCAGAAAGAGUUGUUAUAAGUUCUAAACAUACA
Long non-coding RNA from Saccostrea cuccullata (small rock oyster), 591 nucleotides. RefSeq lists it as uncharacterized. Lineage: Eukaryota; Metazoa; Mollusca; Bivalvia; Ostreida; Ostreidae. The transcript is spliced from 3 exons. The record is from RefSeq and is a predicted model, not a curated record.